This 84-nucleotide transfer RNA is filed under the name Candidatus Acetothermia bacterium. RNAcentral's name for it is "tRNA-Leu". It matches the Rfam family "tRNA". Rfam says of the family: Transfer RNA (tRNA) molecules are approximately 80 nucleotides in length. Their secondary structure includes four short double-helical elements and three loops (D, anti-codon, and T loops). The record is from RNAcentral. RNAcentral also lists the same sequence under 2 other names. Lineage: Bacteria; Candidatus Bipolaricaulota.
GCGAAGGUGGCGGAAUUGGCAGACGCGCUGGCCUUAGGAGCCAGUGCCCGUAAGGGCGUGCGGGUUCGACUCCCGCCCUUCGCA